RNAcentral lists this ribosomal RNA (216 nucleotides) under Glomeromycotina sp. RNAcentral describes it as "partial small subunit ribosomal RNA". The stretch from base 40 to 216 matches the Rfam family "Eukaryotic small subunit ribosomal RNA", at positions 686 to 864 of the family's 1831-position model. The record is from RNAcentral. Lineage: Eukaryota; Fungi; Glomeromycota.
GGGUCAGUAGGUUGGUCGUGCCACCGGUACGUACUGGUCUCACUGAUUCCUCCUUCCUGAAGAACCGUAAUGCCAUUAAUUUGGUGUUGCGGGGAAACAAGACUGUUACUUUGAAAAAAUUAGAGUGUUUAAAGCAAGCUAACGCUUGAAUACAUUAGCAUGGAAUAAUGAAAUAGGACGAUCGAUCCUAUUUUGUUGGUUUCUAGGAUUGACGUA